GAUGAACGCUGGCGGCGUGCCUAACACAUGCAAGUCGAACGAAUCAGAUAUUCAACACUGAGUAUUUAGACGAAGGAAAAAAGUUAGCCAGCGUCAAGGACGAACGAUAGAGAGUCCUUUACGCGUUCAAAAAGUGUGCUAACACAUGAUAGUCUGAAUGUUGAGUGUUGAAUAUCUGAUUAGUGGCGGACGGGUGAGUAACGCGUGGGAAACCUGCCCUAUACAGGGGGAUAGCCUCGGGAAACUGGGAUUAAUACCCCAUAAAACUCUAGUAUCGCAUGAUACAUGAGCCAAAGAUUUAUCGGUAUAGGAUGGUCCCGCGUCUGAUUAGCUAGUUGGUGAGGUAACGGCUCACCGAGGCGACGAUCAGUAGCCGGCCUGAGAGGGUGAACGGCCACACUGGAACUGAGACACGGUCCAGACUCCUACGGGAGGCAGCAGGUGGGGAAUAGUUGCACAAGUAGGGGGAAACCCUGGAUGCAGCGACGGCCGCGUGG
RNAcentral lists this ribosomal RNA (497 nucleotides) under uncultured bacterium. RNAcentral's name for it is "bacterial SSU rRNA". It matches the Rfam family "Bacterial small subunit ribosomal RNA", at positions 28 to 404 of the family's 1533-position model. The record is from RNAcentral.